This 409-nucleotide unclassified non-coding RNA is filed under the name Hevea brasiliensis (rubber tree). Lineage: Eukaryota; Viridiplantae; Streptophyta; Magnoliopsida; Malpighiales; Euphorbiaceae. The record is from RNAcentral.
CUUUUUUACAUGGAAAUAUUAUUUAAUUCUUCCGCUGAUGGUAUGCAUGUCUGUGAUAUUGAGAAAUAGCAAACAUUUGGCAUGCAUUGGCUUUGACAUCAUCCAGUUCAUCUGGUUCUUAACUGAAUUUCUUUCAUCAUUAUAACAAAUUGAAUACUCACUGCAUAAUGCUGCUUUGUAGCAAGUUAUAUUUCUAAUAUAUCAGCUUUUUGAUAAGUUAAUGGAAAUUCAUUUAAAGAGUUAAGAGAGCUUUGUACACUGGUAGUUUCUAGAAACUUAAUGAAUAUUUAAUGCUGAACCCUAAGUUAGUUCCUAGGGAAGUAAUGGAUAUAAAAAGCUGCUAUAUUACUCUUAAAUCCUAAUUGGUUAAUUUUAUACUUAUUAUCAGGGAUUUGCAUACUUGCCGGGU